This 350-nucleotide ribosomal RNA is filed under the name Pseudomonas anguilliseptica. RNAcentral describes it as "bacterial SSU rRNA". It matches the Rfam family "Bacterial small subunit ribosomal RNA", at positions 46 to 400 of the family's 1533-position model. Lineage: Bacteria; Pseudomonadati; Pseudomonadota; Gammaproteobacteria; Pseudomonadales; Pseudomonadaceae. The record is from RNAcentral.
GCGCUACACUGCAGUCGAGCGGUAGAGAGAAGCUUGCUUCUCUUGAGAGCGGCGGACGGGUGAGUAAUGCCUAGGAAUCUGCCUAGUGGUGGGGGAUAACGUUCGGAAACGGACGCUAAUACCGCAUACGUCCUACGGGAGAAAGCGGGGGAUCUUCGGACCUCGCGCCAUUAGAUGAGCCUAGGUCGGAUUAGCUAGUUGGUGAGGUAAUGGCUCACCAAGGCGACGAUCCGUAACUGGUCUGAGAGGAUGAUCAGUCACACUGGAACUGAGACACGGUCCAGACUCCUACGGGAGGCAGCAGUGGGGAAUAUUGGACAAUGGGCGAAAGCCUGAUCCAGCCAUGCCGC